CUACGGGUGGCUGCAGUGGGGAAUAUUGCACAAUGGGCGCAAGCCUGAUGCAGCAACGCCGCGUGAGUGAAGAAGGCCUUCGGGUCGUAAAACUCUGUCCUCAAGGAAGAAACAUGACGGUACUUGAGGAGGAAGCCCCGGCUAACUACGUGCCAGCAGCCGCGGUAAUACGUAGGGGGCAAGCGUUAUCCGGAAUCACUGGGCGUAAAGGGUGCGUAGGCGGUUUAUCAAGUCAGGAGUGAAAGGCUAUGGCUCAACCAUAGUGAGCUCUUGAGACUGAUAAACUUGAGUGCAGGAGAGGAAAGUGGAAUUCCUAGUGUAGCGGUGAAAUGCGUAGAUAUUAGGAGGAACACCAGUGGCGAAGGCGACUUUCUGGACUGUAACUGACGCUGAGGCACGAAAGCGUGGGGAGCGAACAGGAUUAGAUACCCGAGUAGUC
This 439-nucleotide ribosomal RNA is filed under the name uncultured bacterium. RNAcentral describes it as "partial 16S ribosomal RNA". It matches the Rfam family "Bacterial small subunit ribosomal RNA", at positions 339 to 795 of the family's 1533-position model. The record is from RNAcentral.